GGUAAGAUGGCCGAGGGUCAGGCGGUGGGUUGUAGCCCCAAAUACAGAGGUUUAAGUCCUCUUCUUACCA
This 70-nucleotide transfer RNA is filed under the name Trachycephalus coriaceus (Surinam golden-eyed treefrog). Its description in RNAcentral is "tRNA-Tyr". It matches the Rfam family "tRNA". From Rfam's summary of the family: Transfer RNA (tRNA) molecules are approximately 80 nucleotides in length. Their secondary structure includes four short double-helical elements and three loops (D, anti-codon, and T loops). Further hydrogen bonds mediate the characteristic L-shaped molecular structure. tRNAs have two regions of fundamental functional importance: the anti-codon, which is responsible for specific mRNA codon recognition, and the 3' end, to which the tRNAs corresponding amino acid is attached (by aminoacyl-tRNA synthetases). tRNAs cope with the degeneracy of the genetic code in two manners: having more than one tRNA (with a specific anti-codon) for a particular amino acid; and 'wobble' base-pairing, i.e. permitting non-standard base-pairing at the 3rd anti-codon position. Lineage: Eukaryota; Metazoa; Chordata; Amphibia; Anura; Hylidae. The record is from RNAcentral.